RNAcentral lists this ribosomal RNA (979 nucleotides) under Mycobacterium intracellulare. RNAcentral describes it as "bacterial SSU rRNA". It matches the Rfam family "Bacterial small subunit ribosomal RNA", at positions 35 to 1019 of the family's 1533-position model. Lineage: Bacteria; Bacillati; Actinomycetota; Actinomycetes; Mycobacteriales; Mycobacteriaceae. The record is from RNAcentral.
GCAUGUGGGCGUCUGCCCAUGCAAGUCGAACGGAAAGGCCCCUUCGGGGGUACUCGAGUGGCGAACGGGUGAGUAACACGUGGGCAAUCUGCCCUGCACUUCGGGAUAAGCCUGGGAAACUGGGUCUAAUACCGGAUAGGACCUUUAGGCGCAUGUCUUUAGGUGGAAAGCUUUUGCGGUGUGGGAUGGGCCCGCGGCCUAUCAGCUUGUUGGUGGGGUGAUGGCCUACCAAGGCGACGACGGGUAGCCGGCCUGAGAGGGUGUCCGGCCACACUGGGACUGAGAUACGGCCCAGACUCCUACGGGAGGCAGCAGUGGGGAAUAUUGCACAAUGGGCGCAAGCCUGAUGCAGCGACGCCGCGUGGGGGAUGACGGCCUUCGGGUUGUAAACCUCUUUCACCAUCGACGAAGGUCCGGGUUUUCUCGGAUUGACGGUAGGUGGAGAAGAAGCACCGGCCAACUACGUGCCAGCAGCCGCGGUAAUACGUAGGGUGCGAGCGUUGUCCGGAAUUACUGGGCGUAAAGAGCUCGUAGGUGGUUUGUCGCGUUGUUCGUGAAAUCUCACGGCUUAACUGUGAGCGUGCGGGCGAUACGGGCAGACUAGAGUACUGCAGGGGAGACUGGAAUUCCUGGUGUAGCGGUGGAAUGCGCAGAUAUCAGGAGGAACACCGGUGGCGAAGGCGGGUCUCUGGGCAGUAACUGACGCUGAGGAGCGAAAGCGUGGGGAGCGAACAGGAUUAGAUACCCUGGUAGUCCACGCCGUAACGGUGGGUACUAGGUGUGGGUUUCCUUCCUUGGGAUCCGUGCCGUAGCUGACGCAUUAAGUACCCCGCCUGGGGAGUACGGCCGCAAGGCUAAACUCAAGGGAUUUGACGGGGGCCCGCACAAGCGGCGGAGCAUGUGGAUUAAUUCGAUGCAACGCGAGAACCUUACCUGGGUUUGACAUGCACAGGACGCGUCUAGAGAUAGCGUCUGCGCG